GAGUGUGUGUGCUUGAUAGAGGCUGCGUUUGUGUUGUCAUAGGAAUGAGGUGCCGAAAGGCCUCAGAUGUGGUUGAUUGGGCUCCUCUGGUCUUGGGUCUGCUGAUGCUCUUGAAACAGUUUCACUCCAGAUAUUCUCAACAGUUCCUGGCUCUGAUUGGCCAGUUUAUUCGCUCCAUAAUGGAGCAGUGCACAAGCCAGAAAAUUCCAGAUAUGCCUUCAGAUGUAGUUGGAGCAUUAAUGUUUCUGGAAGACUAUGUGCAGUACACUAAACUGCCCAGAAAGAUUGGAAAUAUUGAGAUAUUUAAUAUUAAUUUUAUUUAAAAGACAAAUAUUCUAAUAGAAAAAUUAUUUGGGGUUUUGAAAGCAUUGUCUUUUUUCUUCUUUUUUUCAGGUGGCCGAAGCUCAUGUGCCAAGUUUCAUUUUUGAUGAAUUCAGGACUUUGAUACCAUUUGUCUUUCUCUGAAAGCACUAAUGAAAAAAUAUGUGAGCAAUUAGCAUUUUGUAACAUUUUAAUUGCUCUUUGGUAAUACUGUGUAGCUGUUGUAAUUUGGUGUAAUCAAAUACCACAAUGUGUAUGUAACUCUAUAAUCUUUGCAAAAUGAAGCACCUUCAAACAAAGAAUAAGAAUGUUUUCUAGUAAAGCAGUAAGCCACAAAAGGGUAUGCUUUACAGUGGUUAAUGGUAAGGGAUAUUUUUUGGCAAGACACAAACCGGAAUGUCUAAAACACACUUAACCAUGGUAAACUCAUUGUAACGCAUGGCUUCAAGUGGCUUAUUGCUUUUAUAUUAAACGGUUGCAACAUCCAAUCAAAAUUUAGAGUCAGAACCAUUUUAACCAGCUAAUAAUACUGAACACAUACACUAAAACACACUUAAACUUUUUGAACACAACACACACACACACAAGAGACAUUAUUUGAAUGAAAGUUUUACUUUAUCUUAAAUAUAUUACAAUACUGAAUGGAUACUGUAUGAAAAAAAUGAGCUUUAUCAUUUAAUUGUCAAUCUAUGUACAGCACACAAUGUAAGAAAACAGCCAUGAAGAAAACAAACACUGUGUACACUGUCAGAUGCGAACAGAAGAGAAAUAACAGAGUGUGUGACAGCUGUUGAAUUAGCAUAAGGCAUUAAAAAAGACCCAAAAUGUACAAUUUCACUACUGAAACCAAUCUGUGUUAAAAAUCAUUAUUCACUUCCAGUUAACACUGUCCUAUAUUUGUAAGUUGGUUCAGGAUGUGUGUGAAUGUGAUCCCAGUAUAAAUGAUCUGGACCCGUUUGGUGAGUGUAAAUAUGAAUUUUCCUACAUACAUUCAAAAGCAUUUGGUUUUAUCCUCCAGUCACUGCACUGACAAGUCUAAACAAAUACAGUUUUAAAAUGACAGUGACCAAGGGUGUAGAUUUGGCUUGAACUUUGGGGGGGUUGCAACUUGAAGCAUUUACAUAUUUCCAUUGAUCAUGGUAUAAAUAUUGAGGGGGAUGUACUUGCUUGUUUUGAUUAUUGGGGGGGGGGGUUACCCCCUGGAAUCUACGCCCCUGACAGUGACUGGCAUCAGGAUGAGACUCGUGUUUGACUGAAACAGCAUCUCUCCACCUGAGAGUUUAUUCCAGUGUGAGCUGUAAAGACUGCUUUUUUUACGGAGAGAUCAGGGUCAUAGUGAGCUGAGAGUAUUGCUUCAGAUGGUCAGUUAUUAUGGCCUUAAUUAAAUGAAGCAAUUCCGAUGGCAUUGAAUGUAUUUCUGCACGUAAACUGCAGCUACAAACACAUAAACAGGGCAGCAGUGACCCACAUGGUGUACAAAGGCGACCUGUUUACGAAACAAUAAAAAAUAUUUAGCUAAACCUCAGUUUGCUCAAAAACCUAUUGCAGUAGUAAUCAUUCUAAAGCACUUAAUUGUUGUUGGGAUUAAAUAUGUACAGGUAACAAUACUGGGGAGGAAAAGACUUUACAAAGUUACCUUAAAAAUACUUCAUAUGCAUCAUGGCAAUGUUUUCUGAUGUUACUUGUGGGUUACAGGCAGAGUGCAAAAAAUCAGUGCAGACAGAUCAAACGCACAGUAGGCUAUGUACAGAUGAAAACUACCAUUACUAAUACAAUACUGAAUGCAAAAGUAAUCUAUCAAGGCUGAAUGGUCAUUUGACCAAGUUUUAUGAGGGAUACUGAAGAGUUUCUCAAUGUAAAAUAGUGUCGAGCUGUAAACAAAUGGCAAAUAUGUUUACCAAGUAAUGGGCAUCAAUCAUGAAACAUGAGAACAUUUCUGUGGACGAAGAAUGAAGAAUAGUUUUACGAGCAAUUUAGAAUUUUCACUGAAAUUCAUUCUACUCAUGUUUAAUCAAAAAAAAAAAAAAAUCUUAAUAUGUCAUUUAUUUGUCCAUAAAAGUAUAACGUUCUCGUUAAUAAUUUAACUGAACUCAAAGGAAACAUAUGUAGUUUUACAUUUACUAGUCUCCAGGUUUAGUUUUUGUGUACAGCGUUUCCAUCUCUACUAUAAUCUAUGACAAACCAUGAUUUGCCAAUUUCUACUUCAUUUUCUUGAAUUCUUGUAAUUCUUGUUAACUUUAUGUUCUGUAUAUGCAAAAUUGUUCCUCUUCAGCAGAAAUCUAAAAAUUCAUUGUCAUUUCCAUGACAAUGGCAGCAUGUUUCACAAUAAGCAAAGUACCUAAAACAAUCAGCUAAAAUCACAUUCCUUACGCUUACGAGAGAAUUAUAAAUGACGUGAGAUGAUGAAAAAAUGAAAUAAUUACAUUCUGCUGUGAGCAUGAGGGAAAAUAAACUCUUUCAAACAAACAGAGACAAACUAAGACCUUGUGCACGUUACAAGACAGAAGUUCUUCGCCCUGCGCAUAUUUCUUGUUUUCAGUCAUGUUGUCACAGCUAAGGUGUGGACUUGACACAACUAAUCGCAAGCUACUGAAGCUGUAUCAGUUACAAGGUCGUUCUUCUCCCAGACUGUUCCUGAAGUUGUCUAAUGACUGACCAAUCAACAAACAGAAUUUCAGAUCAUUAUGAUAUAGGCAUUACAUUUUAGCGUGCCUCCUAUCAAUGUUUUAAGAAAGGAAAUAUCUGUGAACUACAAAUACCCCUCGUCUCGUUCCAUACACAAAUGUUUUCUUUUUUCUAUUGUAAACAAAACUUAUUUUUGAUGGUUAGGUUUAGAGUUUGGGUAAGGGGUUGGACUUUAUGUUUAGGUUUGUGUUAGGACUCUAACUUUGAAAAAAAUCAUAAUAAUAGUUUGUUGGUUCAUUUAUUUUUCUGAAACAUGAUUACUUAUUUUGCAAUCUUGUGAUAUUAUUAUGAGUUUACGAGUUUAUUUAUGUGUUAAUACUUAACAUGUUAAGGGAAUAUACCGGGUUCAAUACAAGUGAAGCUCAGUCGACAGCAUUUGUAGCAUAAUGUGGAUUACUACAAAAUGUAAUUGUCUUGUCCCCCCUUUUCUUACAAUGGAAAUGUAUGGGGCCAAUCCGUUAAUGUUAAAAUCAGGGACUAAAAACAAAAUGUUUUUCAUUUCGGUUCAUUCUGAGCAAAAACUGUAUUUUUUUCAUUCUGGUUCAGAAUUUCCGCAGUCACCUUUCCAAAUGGUAACCAAUUAGAACAAAAUAAAGAACGGUUAAUUACAUUCUUUUUUAAAUGACAGUACUCUACGUUAAGGGAUCGGUGAAAUAUCAAUUGUAGGGUUGCCAGAUCUCGCAAAAGAAACAAGCGACCUGGUCUGGAAUAACCAUUUUUGCUUUUUUUUUUUUUUUUUUAAAGAAAA
This is a long non-coding RNA of Myxocyprinus asiaticus (Chinese sucker), 3754 nucleotides long. RefSeq lists it as uncharacterized. The record is from RefSeq and is a predicted model, not a curated record. The transcript is spliced from 2 exons. NCBI's taxonomy places the organism in Eukaryota, Metazoa, Chordata, Actinopteri, Cypriniformes, Catostomidae.